AACGCACGAGACCUGCGGACCUGCGGAGGGAUCAUUAGUGAACGCCCUCACGGGCUUAUAACUAUUCCAAACCUCUGUGAACCGUGCCCUUCGGGGCUAUUUUACAAACAUGGUGUAAUGAACGUCAUAUAUCAUAACGAAACAAAACUUUCAGCAAUGGAUCUCU
RNAcentral lists this unclassified non-coding RNA (166 nucleotides) under soil metagenome. Its description in RNAcentral is "partial contains 5.8S ribosomal RNA, internal transcribed spacer 2, and large subunit ribosomal RNA". The record is from RNAcentral.